GUGCUUGCUUCGGCAGCACAGAUACUAAAAUUGGAAUGAUACAGAGAAGAUUAGCAUGGCCCCUGUGCAAGGAUGUCACGCAAAUUCGUGAAGUGUUCCAUAUUUUU
This 107-nucleotide small nuclear RNA is filed under the name Delphinapterus leucas (beluga whale). Lineage: Eukaryota; Metazoa; Chordata; Mammalia; Artiodactyla; Monodontidae. The record is from RNAcentral.